UGGAAAAAACUGGUGUGUGCUU
RNAcentral lists this microRNA (22 nucleotides) under Homo sapiens (human). RNAcentral's name for it is "hsa-miR-3148". Lineage: Eukaryota; Metazoa; Chordata; Mammalia; Primates; Hominidae. The record is from miRBase by way of RNAcentral.